CGCCUGUUUAAACAAAAACAUGUCUUUUUGAUUUGAAAUUAUAAGGUCUGACCUGCCCACUGAUUAAAUUUGAAGGGCCGCGGUAUUUUGACCGUGCAAAGGUAGCAUAAUCAUUAGUCUUUUAAUUGAAGGCUGGUAUGAAUGGUUUAACGAAGUAUUGACUGUCUCAUUAUAAUUUUUUGAAUUUAACUUUUUAGUUAAAAGGCUAAAAUGAAAUUGUAGGACGAGAAGACCCUAUAGAGCUUUAUAUAUGUAAUUAAUAAUUAUUUUUAGUUGUUUUUAUUAAUUUUUGAUUAAAUUUAUUUGGUUGGGGUGACUUGAAGAUUUAAUAAACUCUUUGUUUAUAAAGACAUAAAUUUAUGGGAGAUUGAUCCACUAUUAGUGAUUAAAAGAUUAAGUUACCUUAGGGAUAACAGCGUA
RNAcentral lists this ribosomal RNA (420 nucleotides) under Libanasidus vittatus (king cricket). Its description in RNAcentral is "partial 16S ribosomal RNA". The stretch from base 1 to 210 matches the Rfam family "Archaeal large subunit ribosomal RNA", at positions 1889 to 2143 of the family's 2987-position model. Lineage: Eukaryota; Metazoa; Arthropoda; Insecta; Orthoptera; Anostostomatidae. The record is from RNAcentral.